Molecule: long non-coding RNA, 192 nt
Organism: Neopsephotus bourkii (Bourke's parrot)
Lineage: Eukaryota; Metazoa; Chordata; Aves; Psittaciformes; Psittacidae
Exons: 2
Source: RefSeq, a predicted model, not a curated record
GUGGUGAGGCACUGGAAUGGGUUGCCCAGGGAAGUUGUGAAUGCUCCAUCCCAGUGUGCAAGGCCAGGUUGGGCAGAGCCUUGGGUGACAUGGUUUAGUGUGAGGUGUCCCUGCCCAUGGCAGGGGUGUUGGAACUAGAUGAUCUUAAGGUCCUUUCCAACCCUAACUAUUCUAUGAUUCUAUAAUGCUCAA